AUUUCGAAAGUGAAAACAAUACAAUUUUCUACAAAAUGUGAAAUGGAGGUGUUACUGUGGAGUUUUGGAAUAGAGAGAAGACAAAACGGAGC
Octopus sinensis (East Asian common octopus) is the source of this 92-nucleotide long non-coding RNA. RefSeq lists it as uncharacterized. The record is from RefSeq and is a predicted model, not a curated record. The transcript has 3 exons. NCBI's taxonomy places the organism in Eukaryota, Metazoa, Mollusca, Cephalopoda, Octopoda, Octopodidae.